Molecule: non-coding RNA, 32 nt
Filed under: Homo sapiens (human)
Lineage: Eukaryota; Metazoa; Chordata; Mammalia; Primates; Hominidae
Source: RNAcentral
UGUCCCAUGCACUCCAGCCUGGAUGACGGAGC